GGGGUACUAGCUCAAGUGGUAGAGCAUAUCUUUUGCACAGAUAAGGGGGUUGUUCGACUCAACCGUACUCCA
Molecule: transfer RNA, 72 nt
Filed under: Alcanivorax sp.
Lineage: Bacteria; Pseudomonadati; Pseudomonadota; Gammaproteobacteria; Oceanospirillales; Alcanivoracaceae
Description: tRNA-Ala
Rfam family: tRNA
About the family: Transfer RNA (tRNA) molecules are approximately 80 nucleotides in length. Their secondary structure includes four short double-helical elements and three loops (D, anti-codon, and T loops).
Source: RNAcentral